RNAcentral lists this unclassified non-coding RNA (240 nucleotides) under soil metagenome. Its description in RNAcentral is "partial contains small subunit ribosomal RNA, internal transcribed spacer 1, and 5.8S ribosomal RNA". The record is from RNAcentral.
UCUCCGUAGGUGAACCUGCGGAGGGAUCAUUACCGAGUUCGUGCCCCCCAGCGGGGUAGAUCUCCCACCCCUGUGUAUUCUUACCUGUGUUGCUUUGGCAGGCCGCUGGGUUGCGGCCUGGCCACAGGCCUUUGGGCUGGUGCGUGCCUGCCAGAGACCCUUCAAACUCUGGUUUAUCUAGUGUUGUCUGAGUACCAUGCAAAUCGUUAAAAACUUUCAACAACGGAUCUCUUGGUUCUG